GACGAACGCUGGCGGCGUGCUUAACACAUGCAAGUCGAACGGAAAGGCCCUGCUUGCCGGGUGCUCGAGUGGCGAACGGGUGAGUAACACGUGGGUGAUCUGCCCCUUACUUUGGGAUAAGCCUGGGAAACUGGGUCUAAUACUGGAUAGGACCAUGCUGUAGGUGGUGUGGUGGAAAGAUUAGUUUCGGUAAGGGAUGAGCUCGCGGCCUAUCAGCUUGUUGGUGGGGUAAUGGCCUACCAAGGCGUCGACGGGUAGCCGGCCUGAGAGGGUGGACGGCCACAUUGGGACUGAGAUACGGCCCAGAAUCCUACGGGAGGCAGCAGUGGGGAAUAUUGCACAAUGGGCGCAAGCCUGAUGCAGCGACGCCGCGUGGGGGAUGACGGCCUUCGGGUUGUAAACUCCUUUCAGCCAUGACGAAGCCCUUGUGGUGACGGUAGUGGUAGAAGAAGCACCGGCUAACUACGUG
Molecule: ribosomal RNA, 469 nt
Filed under: uncultured bacterium
Lineage: Bacteria
Description: partial 16S ribosomal RNA
Rfam family: Bacterial small subunit ribosomal RNA
Source: RNAcentral